GAAUUUAGUUUAACAGACAAACAUUUGCUUGCAAGCAAAACUUGAUGGUUUAAAUCCUUCAAUCCACA
RNAcentral lists this transfer RNA (68 nucleotides) under Marthasterias glacialis (spiny starfish). RNAcentral describes it as "partial tRNA-Ala". It matches the Rfam family "tRNA". Rfam says of the family: Transfer RNA (tRNA) molecules are approximately 80 nucleotides in length. Their secondary structure includes four short double-helical elements and three loops (D, anti-codon, and T loops). The record is from RNAcentral. Lineage: Eukaryota; Metazoa; Echinodermata; Asteroidea; Forcipulatida; Asteriidae.